UAUUACAGAUCGUGCCCAUCCCACUUCUCUCUAUCAUAACCGAACAUAACAACCUCAAUCACAGCCUGGCAUGCCCACCCCAGCUGGGGGUCCUCUGUCCAUGCCUGCCCCGGCGGGGGUUUGCAGGCUAAAGGAGCCCGCCCCGAUGGGGGUAUAGGAGUUUAGUUUUUUAAAUCCUAUUACAGAUCGUGCCCAUCCCACUUCUCUCUAUCAUAACCGAACAUAACAACCUCAAUCCCAUGAAUCCUCUCCAAAUCGCCCACUUCCCAUAGAAAUUGGCCCACUUACACUCCCAUAUAAAUCCAACUCCAAUCUCUUCCAUUCUAUACCAAAUCCACAUCACACUUCAGAUUUCCAUCAAAAACCUAGGGUUUCUCAUC
This 380-nucleotide long non-coding RNA is filed under the name Panax ginseng (ginseng). RNAcentral's name for it is "long non-coding RNA (PGIN_LNC003024)". The record is from RNAcentral. Lineage: Eukaryota; Viridiplantae; Streptophyta; Magnoliopsida; Apiales; Araliaceae.